GGAUUGUGGCUCAGUGGUAGAGCGCUAGCCUAGCAUGUGUGAGGCACUGGGUUCAAUCCUCAGCACCA
This 68-nucleotide transfer RNA is filed under the name Marmota monax (woodchuck). RNAcentral describes it as "tRNA.Ala". The record is from RNAcentral. Lineage: Eukaryota; Metazoa; Chordata; Mammalia; Rodentia; Sciuridae.